UGCUUAAGGAUCGCACUCCGC
RNAcentral lists this non-coding RNA (21 nucleotides) under Arabidopsis thaliana (thale cress). The record is from RNAcentral. Lineage: Eukaryota; Viridiplantae; Streptophyta; Magnoliopsida; Brassicales; Brassicaceae.